UACAGAGGGGGCAAGCGUUGUUCGGAAUUAUUGGGCGUAAAGGGCGCGUAGGCGGCUUUGCAAGUGACGGGUGAAAUCCCUCGGCUUAACCGAGGAACUGCCUGUCAGACUGCAUGGCUUGAGACCGGGAGAGGUGAGUGGAAUUCCUGGUGUAGCGGUGAAAUGCGCAGAUAUCAGGAAGAACACCCGUGGCGAAGGCGGCUCUCUGGGACGGUACUGACGCUGAGACGCGAAAGCGUGGGGAGCGAACAGG
This 253-nucleotide ribosomal RNA is filed under the name uncultured bacterium. RNAcentral's name for it is "partial 16S ribosomal RNA". It matches the Rfam family "Bacterial small subunit ribosomal RNA", at positions 524 to 776 of the family's 1533-position model. The record is from RNAcentral.